UCGACGGCGGUGUUUGGCACCUCGAUGUCGGCUCAUCACAUCCUGGGGCUGAAGUCGGUCCCAAGGGUAUGGCUGUUCGCCAUUUAAAGUGGUACGCGAGCUGGGUUUAGAACGUCGUGAGACAGUUCGGUCCCUAUCUGCCGUGGGCGUUUGAGAAUUGAAGAGGGCUGCUCCUAGUACGAGAGGACCGGAGUGGACGAACCACUGGUGUUCGGGUUGUCAUGCCAAUGGCAUUGCCCGGUAGCUACGUUCGGAACUGAUAACCGCUGAAAGCAUCUAAGCGGGAAGCAGGCUUUGAGAUGAGUUCUCACUGGAGCUUUAAGCUCCCUAAAGGGUCGUUGGAGACUACAACGUUGAUAGGUCAGGUGUGUAAGGGUUGUGAGGCCUUGAGCUAACUGAUACUAAUUACCCGUGAGGCUUAAC
RNAcentral lists this ribosomal RNA (423 nucleotides) under Chaetoceros brevis. Its description in RNAcentral is "partial Bacterial large subunit ribosomal RNA". It matches the Rfam family "Bacterial large subunit ribosomal RNA", at positions 2505 to 2925 of the family's 2925-position model. Lineage: Eukaryota; Bacillariophyta; Thalassiosirophyceae; Chaetocerotales; Chaetocerotaceae. The record is from RNAcentral.